Non-coding RNA from Haemonchus contortus (barber pole worm), 75 nucleotides. The record is from Rfam. NCBI's taxonomy places the organism in Eukaryota, Metazoa, Nematoda, Chromadorea, Rhabditida, Trichostrongylidae.
AACACAAACUUGAAGUAAAAUAGAUGGGUAAGGUCAGCCGAUCCUACUAAUCUACUCUACUUCAAGUUUGUGCUC